RNAcentral lists this ribosomal RNA (599 nucleotides) under Clavaria zollingeri. RNAcentral's name for it is "eukaryotic LSU rRNA". The stretch from base 176 to 330 matches the Rfam family "5.8S ribosomal RNA". The record is from RNAcentral. Lineage: Eukaryota; Fungi; Basidiomycota; Agaricomycetes; Agaricales; Clavariaceae.
GUGCUGGCUUUAAAAGCAUGUGCACUCUUCAACUCUUAUCCUAUCCACCUGUGCACAUCCUGUAGGCAGAAAUGAGGAACAAAUUUUGUUCUUGGAACAAAAGUUGUUCUCCUGUUUCACUGCCUAUGUUUUUACAUACACCAAGUAAAGUUGAAGCAUGUGAAAUAUAUUAUACAACUUUCAACAAUGGAUCUCUUGGUUCUCGCAUCGAUGAAGAACGCAGCGAAUUGCGAUAUGUAAUGUGAAUUGCAGAAUUCAGUGAAUCAUCGAAUCUUUGAACGCAUAUGGCACCCUCUCUUGAAAUAGGAGGGUAUGCCUGUUUGAGUGUCAUUAAACUCCUCAAUACCAUUUACUGGUGUUUGGAUGUUGAAGGUCUGCUGGUGAAUCCCAUCAUCAGCUCCUUUUAAAUACAUGAGCAGGACUACAUGCAACCAGCUCCAAUUUGAUAAGCUUGUUAUCUUUGUUGUUGCUGGGAGUGAAUAAUGUAAUUGUCUGCUACUAGUUGUCCCUGACCAUUGGGACUUGCCUAAUAGGCAACCAUUUGAACCCUUGACCUCAAAUCAGGUAGGACUACCCGCUGAACUUAAGCAUAUCAAUAA